CUGAGCCGUUUCCAGGGUGGGCAG
Molecule: non-coding RNA, 24 nt
Filed under: Arabidopsis thaliana (thale cress)
Lineage: Eukaryota; Viridiplantae; Streptophyta; Magnoliopsida; Brassicales; Brassicaceae
Source: RNAcentral